RNAcentral lists this small nuclear RNA (127 nucleotides) under Moschus moschiferus (Siberian musk deer). RNAcentral describes it as "U4 spliceosomal RNA (ENSMMSG00000002051.1)". The stretch from base 1 to 65 matches the Rfam family "U4 spliceosomal RNA". Rfam says of the family: U4 small nuclear RNA (U4 snRNA) is a component of the major U2-dependent spliceosome. The record is from RNAcentral. Lineage: Eukaryota; Metazoa; Chordata; Mammalia; Artiodactyla; Moschidae.
AGCUUUGCGCAGUGGCAGUAUCGUAGCCAAUGAGGUUUAUCCGAGGCGUGAUUAUUGCUAAUCUAGGAAAGGACCAAAGUAGGUUGAAAGCAGCCAGGUUAGAAACUGUGGAUCUGCCAGUCCUGGA